GUGGGGAAUAUUGGACAAUGGGCGAAAGCCUGAUCCAGCCAUGCCGCGUGUGUGAAGAAGGUCUUCGGAUUGUAAGGCACUUUAAGUUGGGAGGAAGGGCAGUAAGUUAAUACCUUGCUGUUUUGACGUUACCGACAGAAUAAGCACCGGCUAACUUCGUGCCAGCAGCCGCGGUAAUACGAAGGGUGCAAGCGUUAAUCGGAAUUACUGGGCGUAAAGAGCGCGUAGGUGGUUUUGUAAGUUGGAGGUGAAAUCCCCGGGCUCAACCUGGGAACUGCCUCCAAAACUGCAUGACUAGAGUACGGUAGAGGGUAGUGGAAUUUCCUGUGUAGCGGUGAAAUGCGUAGAUAUAGGAAGGAACACCAGUGGCGAAGGCGACUACCUGGACUGAUACUGACACUGAGGUGCGAAAGCGUGGGGAGCAAACAGGAUUAGAAACCCGUGUAGUCC
Molecule: ribosomal RNA, 450 nt
Filed under: uncultured bacterium
Lineage: Bacteria
Description: partial 16S ribosomal RNA
Rfam family: Bacterial small subunit ribosomal RNA
Source: RNAcentral